Non-coding RNA from Ictidomys tridecemlineatus (thirteen-lined ground squirrel), 69 nucleotides. The record is from Rfam. NCBI's taxonomy places the organism in Eukaryota, Metazoa, Chordata, Mammalia, Rodentia, Sciuridae.
GGAGUUGUGGCUCAGUGGUAGAGCACUUGCCUAGCAUGUGUGAGGCCCUGGGUUCGAUUCUCAGCACCA